GGAUAUGAUGAAGCUUUUUUGACACCCAGUCUUAGUCCUAAUGGAAGCUGCUGAUUAAUUUAUUUUGAUCUGAUCC
Small nucleolar RNA from Populus nigra (black poplar), 76 nucleotides. RefSeq annotates it as small nucleolar RNA U31b. The transcript has a single exon. The record is from RefSeq and is a predicted model, not a curated record. Lineage: Eukaryota; Viridiplantae; Streptophyta; Magnoliopsida; Malpighiales; Salicaceae.